RNAcentral lists this small nucleolar RNA (71 nucleotides) under Loxodonta africana (African savanna elephant). RNAcentral's name for it is "Small nucleolar RNA SNORD112 (ENSLAFG00000033226.1)". The record is from RNAcentral. Lineage: Eukaryota; Metazoa; Chordata; Mammalia; Proboscidea; Elephantidae.
UGGACCAAUGAUGAUCGUUUUCAACACCCAAGGACCAUGAUUAAUCUAAUUCUGUACACUUGAGGUCCAAA